UACAAUAAUCAUAUGGUAAUCUCAAGCCUGCUUUUCUUUUUAUCUUUAGGCCAUUCAUUCCAUAUCAACUAAGCUUUGAUUUUACCCUGAACAAUGGUGCUCUUAUGAAUUUCUAACAAAACAAAAGACUAAGAAUCACAGUCUUUUUAAACUGUACUAGGAAGAGGGCAUACAAAAGAUGUAAGCCAAUCUUUUUUGUUUUUUUUUGUUUUUGGGUAGUGAUCUUCUUUUUAUUGUUUUUUCUCAUGUAUAGUACAAUCUUUCCAAAGCUUCUUUUUGCUUCUUUCACUUUAACUUUGUUUACCUUCCAUGAAGAUUGGGCGAAAAAAGGUCUAGUUGAAGCAGCAAAGAGAAGCUGGUAAAAGGUAUAUUGAGAUGAUUUCUUUGGAGCAAUUCUUGACAACAUUUGUAGUUGAGGCCUUUAGAAUGGAAGAAUGUAUUUCACUAAUUUUUGUAUACAUUUCUUGUUUUGUAUUUAGUGAUAAAGGAAUCUGAAUUGGGCAUAAAUUAUGUUGUAAUAUGAUUUCUUAAGCCUAGACUAGUAGACUAAAUAUUGUAAUUACAUUUUGAGUAAUUAAUAAAAAUCUAUUUAUGUUACCUUA
Humulus lupulus (European hop) is the source of this 602-nucleotide long non-coding RNA. RefSeq lists it as uncharacterized. NCBI's taxonomy places the organism in Eukaryota, Viridiplantae, Streptophyta, Magnoliopsida, Rosales, Cannabaceae. The record is from RefSeq and is a predicted model, not a curated record. The transcript is spliced from 2 exons.